This 1749-nucleotide long non-coding RNA is filed under the name Homo sapiens (human). Its description in RNAcentral is "non-protein coding lnc-GINS1-2:2". Lineage: Eukaryota; Metazoa; Chordata; Mammalia; Primates; Hominidae. The record is from RNAcentral.
UAACCCAUACUUCCCUUCCCCCUUCCGUAUCAUUUGAAGGGACCACGCUCUUCCCUUCCAGCAGUUCCCUUCCUUAUCACUAGGACCCCAAGACCUGGGAACCAGCCUGGGUGGGGGUCAGUGGUGGAUGUGGCCCCAAAAGCAGCUUAGGGGGUCCCUUCCUUGUGGCUGCUUCUUGACUGGAUGGAGCAGUGUUCAGGCCUUUCCCCUGUGACGUUUUCUCCUAAUAACGUCACAGGCCUUUCUCAUGUGACUUUAUUACAGCGGCUGGGGCGUCCCUGUGAGAGGCCUGACCCAGGUGUGGGGGGCGCAGCCAGACCGGGGUGCUCCUGGGGUGCAGAGGAUUCGUGGCAGCACGGAGAGUCCGAGGGAAAGGUGACUUUGGAAAGGCAAGUGCCAGGUUACUAGGACCGUGUAUAUUCACUUCUGGCAGUGAAAUGACGGUUUCAGACACUAUGAGGGAGCUUCCCGAGUAGGAUACAAAGAAAGCCUGCAGCUACCAGGUCCACGGGCUGAUAGCCCCACCUCUACGGAGAAGGCUACACGGCGCAUGCUCGAAGGGCGUGACAAGGGGCGGGGCGAGAAGGAAGGGGCGGGGCUGAGGGGAGGGGUGGGGCAGAAGAAAGGGGCCGUGUGCGCCCACAUACUGGAGGAUCAACAUUAUCAUGGCAACCCUGAGGAGGCUGUGAGAGUCUCUGGGGUCCUUGCCGGCCUGCAGAAAAUCAAGCUUUGAGCGGGAAGCUUCGAGGAGACACAGUGUCACAAUUACAAGGUGAGACCAGAUGCCCUGGCCCCGCUGUCUCCUCGCAGGCAGGAGAGGUUUGGGAACACCCACGCUUCCCUCAGCAAGGCAGAACUGCACUGGACGCAUGGAAGUGUGAUUUGGAAAGCGGGACCUUCGUACGGAAUGUUCGGAGUUGUAGUAUCUGUUCUACUCCCAGCCUGUUGGUUCUAGGGCUGCGGACUAUAAUCCCAGCAUGCACUGGGUUUGGGUAAGAGACUGAAGCAUCCAGGUGAAGAACUGGCAUUGCUUCUACCUGUGGAGAGAGGACACCUGUAGGCUGCACGAUUGACUGUGAAUUUAGGAGGAGGAUUAAAAGUUACCUGGCAAACAGUAGGCACCCUACAAAUACUGAUUUUUCCCCCUCCUUUAAAAAGUUUGAUCUCUUGUUAGAUGGUGUUGAGUAAUACAGAAAUGGCAGGUAUGCAUGUGAUUGGUGCUUAAAUGCACACAGUUCCCCAUACCACAAGAGGAAACACACCACAGCCUGAUCAUUAGGACCAACAGCAAAAUAAGUUUGCCUUUAAUCUAUUCACUGCAUAUCUAAACUUUGAUCAAGCCCAUGGACACACCUGAAGACAUGGGGUUUCCUUCUUCUGGGCACAAUCAUCCUUUGAUCAGUGUCUGCUCUGUAAAACAGGAUUCCCCCUAACUCUACCAACCAGCAGAUGGGAAGUAGUAAUCCACCCGUGGACACUUCCUGCUUGCAGCCCACUGCUCUCUCAGGUUACCAUUUUCAGAUGUUGCAAGGAUGGGGUACUCCCUUGCCUCUGAAAGGGAAUGGAGGGUGGGGGGUGUGGUUCAGCACUCAGAGCUUCACUUCAAUGUGGCAGCCACUGACCAUUGGGACCACUGAGCCCCUGGAAUGUGGCUGGUCUGUAUUGAGAUGUGCUGGAAGUUUAAAAUACAGAGUUUUAUGGUUUUAUUCUUUGUGUGUGUGUGUGUGUGUGUGUGUGUGUAUGUAUGUG